This 235-nucleotide unclassified non-coding RNA is filed under the name plant metagenome. RNAcentral's name for it is "partial contains small subunit ribosomal RNA, internal transcribed spacer 1, and 5.8S ribosomal RNA". The record is from RNAcentral.
UUUCCGUAGGUGAACCUGCGGAAGGAUCAUUAAAGUUAUAGUCCCCCGGCCCCUCCGGGCUGGGGUCUUCUAUACCACCCUUUGUUUAUUACACCUUUGUUGCUUUGGCAGGCCUGCCCUCGGGCUGCUGGCUCCGGCCGGCUCGUGCCUGCCAGAGGACCUAAACUCUGUUUGUAUAUGAAGGCUGAGUACUAUAUAAUAGUUAAAACUUUCAACAACGGAUCUCUUGGUUCCG